Long non-coding RNA from Xenopus laevis (African clawed frog), 922 nucleotides. RefSeq lists it as uncharacterized. The record is from RefSeq and is a predicted model, not a curated record. Lineage: Eukaryota; Metazoa; Chordata; Amphibia; Anura; Pipidae. The transcript has 3 exons.
AGGAUAAACUUGCUGCAAUCACGGAGAGGCUCAAGAAAUGGUCUCCAAGAUCUGCUCCAGAAGUUGUUAGAGAUGUCAUGGGAAAUCAUUAACCUAAACUGCAUUUGUGGAUCAUAUGAUCAUAUGAAUUGGGUCAAGUGCAAGGGCUGGCAGUGGAGAGUUCCAUAUAUAUCGGCAUCCAACUGCUGCAUGAAGAGAGAAUGAAGAGAAACAGAUGCUGAAUAGUGAAGAUAAACUUGAUUAUUUCAGAAAUGAAAGAUGUACAGAUACUGAAAAUUCCACAGAAUCCAGUGAUAAAACAGAUUUAGAAGACCAAUGACUUCAAUGUAGAACAAUGUAUUCUCCAGCUUCAACACCAUGGACUUUACAUUUUCCAUUAAAGGCGUUAUUUUUCGAUGUGUUCAUAUUUCGUGCCUUCAGUGUUACGUUGACUUCUUGUUUUUGAAUCUGAGCACAACAUGGAACAGUACGUAAUUAUUAUUAUCUUUUUUAAAUUUUGUAAUGAUGAAAACAAAGGACAGAGUGUCAUCAAACUAAUACAAAGUUUUACUGUAAGUAAAGAUGUGUCUGAUUCUCAGGAGCAUUGGGCACAGAUACAUCACUGUAUGCUCAGCCUUAAGCAUUUUAGCAGCAGUUUAUAAACAUUAAAAAGAACAGAAAGAAAAGAAACCCUUUCAAAGUGAUAACACUUUAUCAUCAUUUAUUUUGAAAUCAUCUGUAAGUUAUGGAGAGCAUUACGAAAAGGUUAAAGAAUAAAAAUACAAUCAGAGAGCCCUGAUUACAUACAAUCUAAUAUCACUUGAUAUAUUAAAGAACCAAUAAUGCCAUGAAGUGAUUUUUUAUAACAUUCAAAGUUUGUAUACGUUUAGUCAGCACCUAAAAAUAAACUAUGUCCUGCCAACAAAUGUUACUUUAUAAUUUA